AGUGAACGCUGGCGGUAGACCUAACACAUGCAAGUCGAACGGCAGCACAGUAAGAGCUUGCUCUUACGGGUGGCGAGUGGCGGACGGGUGAGGAUUACAUCGGAAUCUACUUUUUCGUGGGGGAUAACGUAGGGAAACUUACGCUAAUACCGCAUACGACCUACGGGUGAAAGCAGGGGAUCUUCGGACCUUGCGCGAUUGAAUGAGCCGAUGUCGGAUUAGCUAGUUGGCGGGGUAAAGGCCCACCAAGGCGACGAUCCGUAGCUGGUCUGAGAGGAUGAUCAGCCACACUGGAACUGAGACACGGUCCAGACUCCUACGGGAGGCAGCAGUGGGGAAUAUUGGACAAAGGGCGCAAGCCUGAUCCAGCCAUACCGCGUGGGUGAAGAAGGCCUUCGGGUUGUAAAGCCCUUUUGUUGGGAAAGAAAAGCAGCAGGUUAAUACCCCGCUGUUCUGACGGUACCCAAAGAAUAAGCACCGGCUAACUUCGUG
RNAcentral lists this ribosomal RNA (492 nucleotides) under uncultured bacterium. RNAcentral's name for it is "partial 16S ribosomal RNA". It matches the Rfam family "Bacterial small subunit ribosomal RNA", at positions 29 to 507 of the family's 1533-position model. The record is from RNAcentral.